CGGGAUGUGGCGCAGUCUGGUAGCGCGUACGGUUCGGGACCGUAAGGUCGGAGGUUCAAAUCCUCUCAUCCCGACCA
Molecule: transfer RNA, 77 nt
Filed under: Desulfobacterales bacterium C00003104
Lineage: Bacteria; Pseudomonadati; Thermodesulfobacteriota; Desulfobacteria; Desulfobacterales
Also listed under: 5 other names
Description: tRNA-Pro
Rfam family: tRNA
About the family: Transfer RNA (tRNA) molecules are approximately 80 nucleotides in length. Their secondary structure includes four short double-helical elements and three loops (D, anti-codon, and T loops).
Source: RNAcentral